UGGGCAAUAUCUACACAGAUGAAUAAGCUUAAAACAUACAACAAAUCAAUACUAAGUCAUAUUAGAGGGUAGGAAUUCAUCAUUGGAAAGAUCCAGAAAGGCCUCUUUUUAGGAGGGAUCAUUAAUUAAACCUUGCUGAAAGGUAAUUCAUGACUUCAUUAUGCAUUUAUAUUUGUUAUUAUGUUCCUCUAGAACAGUGAUGGUGAACCUGUGGCAUGCAGAGCUCUCUCUGUGGACACACAGCCACCCCUGUCCCCCACCCCAAGACUUCAUUACUAGAAAGGCAGAGGGACUCGGACAGAGCUGCUCCCCUUAUCCCUAUCCCUCUCUACUGAUCCUGAUGACAUUUUUUCAUAUCACCCAGCCUUCUGCUCAGCAGCCAAUGGGAACACACAGGAGUAAGGACUUGGACUUUGUAAGAGGAAUAAUUCUACAGGAGACAGCCCUAAAGUUUACAAUGGAAGGUGACAUUUGCAAGUGGGUUGGACUUAUCACCAUUCUAUUUUUUCAAAAUGGAGAAAAAAGCAAAGAGAGUUUAAAUAACAUCUUUAAUAUCCCAGGACACUAUGGACAACUCGAGAAUGGAAACCAUAUCUGCUGACUUGAAGCCCUCUGUGUUGUUCAAGAAACCACACUCCUGGGGAGGCUACUCUGUGCUCCCAUUUGAGAUUAGUCCUAUAAUUUAUAGCAAGUUAUAAUAAAAGUAAAUACACAUAUGGGCA
This 722-nucleotide long non-coding RNA is filed under the name Monodelphis domestica (gray short-tailed opossum). Its description in RNAcentral is "lncRNA (ENSMODG00000043914.1)". Lineage: Eukaryota; Metazoa; Chordata; Mammalia; Didelphimorphia; Didelphidae. The record is from RNAcentral.